This is a non-coding RNA of Struthio camelus australis, 3622 nucleotides long. NCBI's taxonomy places the organism in Eukaryota, Metazoa, Chordata, Aves, Struthioniformes, Struthionidae. The record is from RefSeq and is a predicted model, not a curated record.
UGAUGCACAAUGCCCUAUGGUCCACUUCAGUGGAAGUCCAAAUUUACCUAUGCUGCUGUUCUAUGUCACUAGGUAAUUUUUUAAGUAGACAUAAAGUAAAGGGGAAAAUGAGGGUAUUAUGAAGGGAAAGCUCUUUGUUACAAUAGCCAGCAAAGGGUUUACCCUGUUAAUUAAAAAAGGGCGGGGGGUGAGCUACCUGUUUUCUCAGUCAAGACAGUGAAGCUGCACAGCUAUGUAUGCUCUGAGAAGGAAGCAACAGUAUCAGCAUGCGAGAUAAAUGUAAAAGGUGCUUCAGUGUCACAGAUUGUCAUGGCUUUCUGUUUCUGCUGGGUAUGUUGCUCUGGCAGUCUGGAGCUUGUCUCUCAUACCAAUUUUGUAUCGGGAAGAUGGGGAAUACUAUGCUAAGCUGAAUGUGUAUAACUUGUGAGUUAGGAUAGCUUGUACUGAAGAGCUUGAUUUUCCUUUUUCUUUGACAAUGGCACAGUAUAUGCAUAGUACUGUAUUGCUUCAUCUUAUGUGCUUGCAAAGCAGUGCAUCUGUUCUUUUCAGAAUAUGCAUGUUUAUCAUGCUAUCAGCCAUUUAGAAUAUUUCAGAUUCAUUUUACCAGGAACCUAAUCCACUUACUGAGCUUUAAUUAUUUUUUAGAAUAAUUAAAAGCUUUAUUUGAAUGAAGAAGAUUCAGUGUCUGUUACUUGAAAAUAACUGUUUGGCUGUGUUUCUGCUCACUCUCAUGAUUUCCUUUCUCAGCAUUAGCUGCCAGGUUAUGUUCAGGUCUAAGAGUAAUUGCUGUUAAUUAAAGUGUUUCAUGACACUUUUAGGGUAGAGUGACUGGAAUGAUCUUUCAUUUCCUGUGGGGAUAGAAUUUUGAAGAAACAGUCCAGCAGUGGAUAUGUAUUCUUAAAAAUCACUCUAUAUAAUCUUUUUGUAAAUAGUGAUGGUAAAUGGAGUAAUCAGUAACACUACCAUAUGAUCUUGCUGGCUGGUUUUAGGGGUCAUUUUCAAAAACAUAGCAAGCAGAUUUAUUUGGGAGUUUAGCUACAACUUUGUCACUUGCAUCUUCAUUUUAGUUGCGAAGAAUGUGGCUCGCUGCAUUCUCUUCACUAAGUCUGAGUGGCCAAGAAAGAGAAAACACUAUGUACUGGCUGUUAACAGAAGCUGGAGAGACUGUUAAGUUAUUUGGGGGAGUUCAGCCUUGCAGUUUGUUGUUGGGGGGGUGUGUGUCUAACAUUAGAUUUUUGCAUCAUAUUGAAAUGCAGACUGAAUAUUUGGCAGUUUGUCAUUGUGGUUUCCUUUUAAGAAGCAUACGUUUAAUUUUCAGUCACUGAAGUAAUUUCCCCGUUUGGAGGUGAUGUCUCUGGUCUCUGUCCGCAUUGUAACUCUGUCCAGACAUCAAUUCUAGCCUGAUCUCGAGUUUGACAGUCAUAUCUAUGGUGAUGCUGUACCUGACCUGUUAACUGAUUUUAAUAGUAGGGGCUUGCUUAUAAAGGAUAGUAGGCUGUGGUCUGUAAUACCUGUUUUUAAUAAGAAAGUAUUCAUCCAGCGGAAAGUCUGUAUUAUGGAAUAGAUAAUAGAAUUUUUGAAGUUGGGUACUUCCAACUUUGCAAAGUUCAGUAGUUGGUGAAGCAAGCUACCCCAUGGAAAAACAAACAAAAGUGUGGAAGGGAAGUAAAAGGGAGAAUUGAUGAACUUAUUGCAACUUUUAAUAGGACUCGGUCAUUAAAUUGAAUUGCGCCAACUCUGAAAUCAUAUUUAGUCUGAGCUGCUAGCUUCAGACAUUCUUCAGCGGUAUCUUAUAAGGUGAAUGUUGCCCUUGUUUUAAAGUGUGGAAUAAUUUGCACGUGUCACUUCUGAGUUGCUUUUUGAGGCUGUUUGUUAAGUGAAGCUAGCCUAAUAGGUGCAACUCGUGUAUGGCUUUCCAAAGUAAUUCUUGCAAUAACAGAUACCUUGCAAGAUAUGCCAGCAGUUUCUGAACUUCGAGCUGGACCUCAGGAUGCUGGUAAAUGUUUUAUCAAAGAGCAUACAGAGCUGCUCUUGUGCUGCUGUUGUGAUCAGAGGCUCUCCAGUCAGUCUUCGACGUCUUUAGGGUUCCUUAGCUAUGCAGCAUGUUUCUGUUUCCCCAGCCUGAGUCAUGGGUUGGGUUAAACCUAUCAAACAUUGCAGUACUUGCAUAUUAUUUUAAGUUUGAGGUUACUAUUACAAUAUUAAAAUGCAGAUGAAGACAGGCUUGUGCAGAAUCCUUCUGCUGCCUUAUGAGUACAUAAAGGAAAGAUCCUAAACCAAGUUUUAGUAUAAGGUUUUAAUGAAAGCUACUGGUGGCUGUACGGCCUUGAAAACGGAAGAUAACUUUCUGCUAUACCACGAGAUUGUGUGCAAAAAUUUGUUCUUCAAGUCAGAAUUAAAAGAACCGUCUGGGGUGAGAAUAUAUGUUUUUAGUCAUAGAACAUAUACAGCAGCUGGGAUUUUUGUGAUGAAACCUGUGUCCUGGGUACUAGAUUAGCAAUCCAUUUGAGUUUGUUUGCCUUAUUUGUCUGUGCAACAUCUGUGUUUUUUCCUUCAUUGUUCUCUAUGCCCUUGGACACUCAAGUAAUCCUAUUAUCCACUAAAACUGUAAUUAAAUCUGUGGCGCCUAGCUGAACAGCAGAGGGGGAUGAAUUCAUAAGUCUCACUUAAGCUGUAUUUUUUUUUUUUUUUGGACAGUUUUAGUAGUCCUGCAGACCUGAGCAAAUAGGGCCAAAGAAUUAUUUGGGAAAUGUAAAAUGAUGGGAGAGUAAUCAUCAGCAUGGAGACUUAUCAGUACCGAUCUGUUUACCUGGUUUGCUCCCCCCACCAACCACCCUAGAUUGAAAAAGAAGCACUGGGAAAAUCUCAUGAUAUUCAAGAUACCUUUUCCUCUCUGAGGAGGAGACAAGUUACAUUUACAACAACGGUGGUGAUAUCCAGGGUUAAGCAAAGUCAAGCAUUUUAUAACAAAACUGAUGUGAGACAACUUUGAUGUCUAACUUAGGUUUUGACUCCUGCUACAGUCUAGACUGUACUAGUAGGUUGCUUUAAUUUUCAGGUCUUCAGUACUGGUUUCUGGGAAAUGGCAUUGUUAAAAGGAUUUAAAUUAGUACAUGCUACAACUGGAGUCAUGGUAAAUGAUGCAUUAAAAUACUGUUUCUAGGUUAAAUUUUUUUUGAUUAAUAAACAUUAUUGGAGGUACGUAAGAAAAUAUUUUAAAGCACUAAUAUAUAACAAAAGAAGAGAAAGUACAGUGCUUCUUGUAUUUAAACAAAAAAACAAUACUCUGGAUUUUGUUUAAGCUGCAGUACCAAGUUUAAAAUGGAACAGUAAUAGUAGUUACUCAGUGAAUUUAGAAGAACUCUGAGAUGAUGUUAACCAACUGGGACAUUAAAGCUGCAGUGAGAUUUCACUCUCUAUGCAGUUAAGUUUCAUACUUGCAUGUUAUGAUAAAAAUGAUGCUUUUUGUCUUAAUGUGGCCAAAGAAAAGACGAACAAUGAAAAACAAUGAAAUGAAAAUUAAUUUUGAUGCAUAAGAUUUUAACACUGUACUGUAACAUAUCACCAGUGUAACUAUAUAUUUUUUAGGGUUUCUGUUUCUAAUAAAACUAUUUCAAAUUAA